Molecule: long non-coding RNA, 1627 nt
Organism: Scophthalmus maximus (turbot)
Lineage: Eukaryota; Metazoa; Chordata; Actinopteri; Pleuronectiformes; Scophthalmidae
Exons: 2
Source: RefSeq, a predicted model, not a curated record
ACCACCCAGCUUCCUGUUAAAGCGAUGAUGGGCGUGUGGGGUCACAGAGAGAUCACAGGAACUAUUUUGUGCGGCCUAUGAAAAGAAAAGAAAGGAAAAUGCUCACGUAACAGACUGUCACUCGCGGAGAUUUUUCUUUCAAAGGAGCAGAUUUGCUUUAAAAUGCAUUUCACCCUUAUUCUUCUGUGUGCCUAAACAAUAAACACGUCGUUUUGUCUCCAAGAAGAUGCUGGUUUAUGAGCAAUGAGGUUCUCUUCCCGUGAACAGCUGAGAAAAGGCUUCACAUAAUAGAAAGUGAGAGGAUUAAUUGAAAGAAAACUCUUCUUUCUCAAAUUCUUUAUGCUGACACCCGGUUCAUAAUUCUCUGCCAACAAAAUAACUUGUAUAGGGUUGUUGUUGUUGUUUUUACAGCAAGAAAAAAAAUGCAGUGUGUAGUUAAUAUUGUUAAACAUUGUUCAGUUUUAUUGCCGUGUCCACGUGAAUGAUGGUGACAGUGAGCCAUGGGCAUUGGCACAGUAACAGGACCCAGCCACAGCAGCUAUAAAGGGAAUUCGCUCAUCUUUCAGUUUAUCAUUCACUAAUGAUGGCAACGGCAAGAGGUUGAGGUCUGUCAAGACCAAAAACCUCCCGUCACAAAGACAGUGUCUUCCCUUCUGCCGUCAGGCUCAUCAACAAGACCCGGGACCCCCACUGACAUUCUGAUUCUGAUUCUGACAUUGUGGGAUAAGUAUGCCUCGAUCUGGAUGGGAAGAAAAAUCAGGCAUACAUUCCAUCAUCAGAAACCAGAUGCGGCCACUAAAACACUAAAGCUCCCAUCCAGAGAGUCAUAAAACACACCAUAAUCAGAUGGUCCGUGCCAGGAUCAAUAGUUUCCAGUCAGACACGGUGCCCUGGAAGGCAGAUUUGGAUGCUGCAGCGGGAUGCGGAGGACUGAUGGGGACCGGGAGUUGGGUUACAUCUAGAGUGCACCAGAGAAUCGAUAGUUUGUGGAGGCUUUGGCACCCGGUCAGGGUUAUGGGCCGGUCCUCUCACGGGAUCAGAAGCACACAGGCAUGCCCGACAACACAUCCCUGACGAAUAAAUAAUAGCUGGUGUUUCACUUUCAGUACAGCAUCAUUUUUUUUUUGAAACAAAUGCACCUGCAAAAAAAUAUGAUGGUUUCAUUUGUCUUUUACUUUAAAAAGUCUCUCUUACUCUCUUAUUUACUUUGUAUUUAUUAUGUCUUACAUUAUAUACACCUGAGUAGCUUGUGGAAGAUUUUUGUGUCAUCAGAUAAAAUAAUCUCUUUGUUAAUCAAAUUUUUAAUUAUUAUUAUUAUUAUACUUUUUAUCAAUAUGAAUCAGCAAAGUAACUAGCAACCAACACAUGUACUGGUGUUAAAUAAAUGUACUAUUCUACCUGCAAUGCUGAAAUAUAUAUCAUACAAUUUAGGAGACAGUGAAUAAAUUAUCAUGUUAACCUAUUGUCCAAAAUCAUUGGCAUAUUUUUUUUGUAAUUUGUGAUACACCCUAUGGUGAACUAUGGUUUAAAAUGUUCAUAGUUUAUCAUUAUCAAAGAUCACAAUGUUGUGUUUUACCUCUGUAAUAAAGUUUAUUAAACUCUAUGAAGCGCUGAUGUAACAACCACA